GCACUCGCUUUGGCAGCACAUAUACUAAAAUUGCAAUGAUAGAGAGAAGCUUAGCAUGACCCAUGCACAAGGAUGACAUGCUGAUUUAAAAAGAAAAAAAAAAGAAA
Molecule: small nuclear RNA, 107 nt
Organism: Cricetulus griseus (Chinese hamster)
Lineage: Eukaryota; Metazoa; Chordata; Mammalia; Rodentia; Cricetidae
Source: Ensembl